Molecule: long non-coding RNA, 139 nt
Organism: Thalassophryne amazonica
Lineage: Eukaryota; Metazoa; Chordata; Actinopteri; Batrachoidiformes; Batrachoididae
Exons: 3
Source: RefSeq, a predicted model, not a curated record
AAGACCCAUCUAGGGACAGACAUUGCGAAUUAGCGCUUGCUAAAAUGUUGUAGUAUGUAACAUGACUCAUGGAACAUACUUGUCCCUAUUCAAAUAAACCUAAAAUAAAAAAUAGAAUUAAAUGCAAAAGCGCUGUAAC